This is a long non-coding RNA of Pseudoliparis swirei, 639 nucleotides long. RefSeq lists it as uncharacterized. The transcript has 2 exons. The record is from RefSeq and is a predicted model, not a curated record. NCBI's taxonomy places the organism in Eukaryota, Metazoa, Chordata, Actinopteri, Perciformes, Liparidae.
GACGGACUCUUUCUUUUUUAUGAACUAAAUAUUGUGUAGAUGCGCGACUGUGGAGCGGGUUUCAUUUUCUAAAGGACUUUUCGUGGUUCACCUUGCGGCCUACAUGUCCGUUAGGUCCCCAUCUACAGAGAACCGCCCGUCGCUCGAGGGAAGUGAAGAAGAGGUCGGUACCUCUCUGUAAAGGCCGUCUGGUGUAGAGCUGCUGGACUCGGUCUGCGAAGACCUGAAGACCUGAACCCGCAUGUCGGUCUAGUUAGGAAGCAGAGUCCGAUUGUGUUCCAGGCCACAUGGUCCACCUCUACUCUAGUACCCUGAAUGUGAUGAUUGUUGGGUUCCUUUACCGUUUCUAUUCUUUGCAUGUCCUCAUAGCUCGCUGUUCCCGUCCUAUUCUAAGAGCCAGGAUCCAGUCGACCGAUUGAACGUAGAGGACUACGACGACAGGCGGCGCCCGCCGGUGUGGCCCGAAGCAUCCAGCCUGAACCGUCCGUGGACAAAGUCCCGCCGCCGCCCACCUGCCUCUGGUCUCCUGAAGCGAGACGGAGAAAAUGAUCAUCCGUCUCCACAGUGACUGAGUCAAGAACAUAUCUGAAAACAUCUUUUGAAGCGAAUUAAUGAAAAUGAAAUAAAUUGUUCACCUUA